Molecule: ribosomal RNA, 256 nt
Filed under: Aurantiochytrium limacinum
Lineage: Eukaryota; Bigyra; Thraustochytrida; Thraustochytriidae
Description: partial Eukaryotic small subunit ribosomal RNA
Rfam family: Eukaryotic small subunit ribosomal RNA
Source: RNAcentral
CCUUAGAUGUUCUGGGCCGCACGCGCGCUACACUGAAGGAAUCAACGUGUGACAUCCCCUAGGCCGAAAGGUCCGGGUAACCCGUUGAACCUCCUUCGUGCUAGGGAUUGGGGCUUGCAAUUAUUCCCCAUGAACGAGGAAUUCCUAGUAAGUGCGAGUCAUAAACUCGUGUUGAUUAAGUCCCUGCCUUUUGUGCACACCGCCCGUCGCUACUACCGAUUGAACGAUUUAGUGAGGUCUUCAGACCUGAUCGCGA